Molecule: ribosomal RNA, 468 nt
Filed under: uncultured bacterium
Lineage: Bacteria
Description: partial 16S ribosomal RNA
Rfam family: Bacterial small subunit ribosomal RNA
Source: RNAcentral
GACGAACGCUGGCGGCGUGCUUAACACAUGCAAGUCGAACGGAAAGGCCCUGCUUUUGUGGGGUGCUCGAGUGGCGAACGGGUGAGUAACACGUGAGUAACCUGCCCUUGACUUUGGGAUAACUUCAGGAAACUGGGGCUAAUACCGGAUAGGAGCUCCUGCUGCAUGGUGGGGGUUGGAAAGUUUCGGCGGUUGGGGAUGGACUCGCGGCUUAUCAGCUUGUUGGUGGGGUAGUGGCUUACCAAGGCUUUGACGGGUAGCCGGCCUGAGAGGGUGACCGGCCACAUUGGGACUAAGAUACGGACCAGACUCGUACGGGGGGCAGCAGUGGAGAAUAUUACACAAUGGGCGGAAGCGUGAGGCAGCGACGCCGCGUGCGGGAUGACGGCCUUCGGGUUGUAAACCGCUUUCGCCUGUGACGAAGCGUGAGUGACGGUAAUGGGUAAAGAAGCACCGGCUAACUACGUG